RNAcentral lists this ribosomal RNA (254 nucleotides) under uncultured bacterium. RNAcentral describes it as "partial 16S ribosomal RNA". It matches the Rfam family "Bacterial small subunit ribosomal RNA", at positions 524 to 776 of the family's 1533-position model. The record is from RNAcentral.
UACGUAGGCAGCGAGCGUUGUUCGGAGUUACUGGGCGUAAAGGGUGUGUAGGCGGUUAUUUAAGUUUGGUGUGAAAUCUCCCGGCUCAACCGGGAGGGUGCGCCGAAUACUGAAUGACUUGGAGUGCGGGAGAGGUGAGUGGAAUUCCUGGUGUAGCGGUGAAAUGCGUAGAUAUCAGGAGGAACGCCGGUGGUGUAGACGGCUCACUGGACCGUAACUGACGCUGAGACACGAAAGCGUGGGUAGCAAACAGG